This 504-nucleotide long non-coding RNA is filed under the name Mus musculus (house mouse). RNAcentral describes it as "long non-coding RNA chr1:63671467-63671971". Lineage: Eukaryota; Metazoa; Chordata; Mammalia; Rodentia; Muridae. The record is from RNAcentral.
GGAUUAGAUUCUGAUGCAAAUAAAAUUCCAUUUCACCCCUACUACACUAUCAAAGGAAUCAUAGGCCUCUUCUUUUUAUUCUUUUAUCCCCAUAAUCUUAAUCUUAUUUCCCCCUCAUUGCUUAGGAGACCCUGACCAUUAUACUCCAGGCAGACUAUUCAACCACUCCCCACAUUAAACCUGAGUAAUAUUUCCUAUUGCCUCCACUAUCUUCCAUCUCUCCCCAUCAAACUAGAAGGUGUGGUAGCUUGGUCCUCUCAAUUCUCACCUUGACUUUCCUUCCAUUUCCUCCCCAUCUCAAAACAACGCAGUCUCACAUCCCAUCCACUCACCCAGUCCCUAUACUGAAUCCUGGUUGCUGAUCUACUCAUCCUCACAUGAACUGGUGGGCAACCAACAGAACCCCCAUUCAUUACUAUUGGCCAAUUACACUCCAUUAUUUCUUUCUCUGUUUUCCUAAUUUUAAUACCUAUUUCUGGCCUAUUGAAAAUAAAAUGUUUAAAU